This 451-nucleotide ribosomal RNA is filed under the name uncultured bacterium. RNAcentral describes it as "bacterial SSU rRNA". It matches the Rfam family "Bacterial small subunit ribosomal RNA", at positions 328 to 794 of the family's 1533-position model. The record is from RNAcentral.
GUCCCAGACUCCUACGGGAGGCAGCAGUGGGGAAUAUUGGGCAAUGGGCGCAAGCCUGACCCAGCAACGCCGCGUGAAGGAAGAAGGCUUUCGGGUUGUAAACUUCUUUUGACAGGGAAGAGCAGAAGACGGUACCUGUCGAAUAAGCCACGGCUAACUACGUGCCAGCAGCCGCGGUAAUACGUAGGCGGCAAGCGUUAUCCGGAUUUACUGGGUGUAAAGGGGGCGCAGACGGCGAUGCAAGCCAGGAGUGGAAGCCCGGGGCCCAACCCCGGGACUGCUCUUGGAACUGGGUGGCUGGAGUGCAGGAGGGGCAGGCGGAAUUCCUGGUGUAGCGGUGAAAUGCGUAGAUAUCAGGAGGAACACCGGUGGCGAAGGCGGCCUGCUGGGCUGCAACUGACGUUGAGGCCCGAAAGCGUGGGGAGCAAACAGGAUUAGGUACCCCAGGACC